UGCUCCUGUUUGGAGAGUAUAAGAAGGAGGUGGUCGUUGUUGUUCUUGGGAAUGUUUCUAGGCUUUUGUGACUUCCUAUGACAGGUUAAGCAAUGGUACAGAGGAAAAGAGCGAAAUCGGGCUUUGGGGUAAGUGGAAGCUUUAUCUUCAUGACUUGGGGGAGCAUUUAUUUCCUGUGUAUUCAUUUUUUGGAAAAAAAAAAAAAAAAAGUCCAGAUCAAAUGAUGCAAGAAUUUUGUGGGUUCCGGCAUGAUAGCCAACGCCAUUACACACAGAGACUGAGCAAAAACAAUAAUGGAUCAAAUUCACAGACACGAAAUGUUUCACGUUGGCUGCGCAACUACAUCUUGUUUAGUAUCCACAUUAUGUCAUUGGCAGGAAGGACUCUGUGCAGAUGAGGAUCAACUAAACAGACAAACCAACCGUAAUUGCAAGUUGAUUCUGUUCUGGUUGAAGGGAAAUGCUGAAGGAUUUAUGGUUGUUGUUUUUUUUUUUUUCUUGAAGUGUCAUACAGAAAGUAGUUACUCAGUCUUAGAACCAGAGAUCUUUUUCCUGGUUGAAUUUGUGUCUGAGCAGACCAUCUGCCUGCCAUUUUGAGAAGAAAUUAAAUUUUGAUAGUAAAUAAUAAAGGAUGUGAAGCUUCUGUUCUGAAAAUAAAUAUAACUAAAACAAACAAACAAAAAUAUUGCCAGUGUAUUUUUUUAAAUAUUGAGAUCUUUUUCAAGUCAUCCUGAUGACUUUUGUCUAGGGACAAGACAAUCAUAAUGUAAGAACAGUCAUAAGCCUGAGUAUCAGAUCUGAAAAACAGAAAUUGCUGCUAAAAGAAAUUAUUUUUCUCUAUAAAUAGUACAGUAUUAGCUGGAAUUUGUUGUACAUUUGAGAACUACUUCAGAUGCUCUGCUUGUAUUGAGGGUUGUUUUAUGUGUUGCUUUUUAAAUAAUAAUCAGUUGCAUAAAACUUUAAAUUUCUAGAUGAAUUGAUUUAUUCUGUCUAUAUUAUUAAUGAUGAAUUACAGUUGCAAUAUUUGCUUACAUUAAUUAUACAUCUUCAGUCAAUAAACAGCUUCCAGCAAUUAUUUGAAAGCGGCAAUCAAAUCUGUUGGUAUUUUCACUGGAUUAAUUGGUGUCGUGUGACAUCUGAUUAUUGUUGUUCUGCUCAGAAAUCUCAAUAAUAGCAAUUAUUACAAAGCGAACUUUGUGUAAGCGGUAUUUUAUUAAGAAACUUGAUAACUGUUGGCUUCCUUAUGAUAUUAAAUAUUGUUUUCCGUUAUCAAUACUCUAAUUUAUUAACCAGAAAUUUGCAGUUUUCCCUCAUAUUGUAAUGCAGCCUUAAAUAUGGAAUGACAGUGCUGGAAAGCACUGAGUGUUUUGUAGAAACAUGGACUUGUCUGAAAAUCAAUAACAUUCAUUAUAAAUAAGUUAUAUACUACCGUUCCCAGAUUUUUUCUAUCCUUUGUUAGAUUAUAUACUGUUCUGAUGUCUCCCUGUUUUGUCUCAUGUGCUGGAAAAGUGUUUAAGUGUCCAGGCUAUUUUUAAUAAUCUUAAUGUAGGACUUCUUUUAAGAGUAGCUCUCCUGGUUAGCUCUCCUGCAAUGGAAUGUUACUAGCAAAUGAGCCAUUUCCUAUGCUUUAGGAAGUGUACUAUUUAGGGAUCAAAACUGAACAUUUCACUUUGUCUAGGUUUUACAUCACUAUUUCAGCAUACGAAUAGCCAGGAAAGGUCAUAAGUCUUGCUUUCAUAUAAGAAAUGUUUGUUCCAAUCUUUAGGUACACCUUUACAGGCAGUGGGAAAGCUCUUUAGGGGGUGCACUCCUCUGU
Molecule: long non-coding RNA, 1815 nt
Organism: Lagopus muta (rock ptarmigan)
Lineage: Eukaryota; Metazoa; Chordata; Aves; Galliformes; Phasianidae
Exons: 3
Source: RefSeq, a predicted model, not a curated record